Molecule: ribosomal RNA, 253 nt
Filed under: uncultured bacterium
Lineage: Bacteria
Description: partial 16S ribosomal RNA
Rfam family: Bacterial small subunit ribosomal RNA
Source: RNAcentral
UACGUGGGGUGCGAGCGUUAAUCGGAAUUACUGGGCGUAAAGCGUGCGCAGGCGGUUUCGUAAGACAGGUGUGAAAGCCCCGGGCUUAACCUGGGAAUUGCGCUUGUGACUGCGAGGCUGGAGUGCGGCAGAGGGAGGUGGAAUUCCACGUGUAGCAGUGAAAUGCGUAGAGAUGUGGAGGAACACCGAUGGCGAAGGCAGCCUCCUGGGCUAGCACUGACGCUCAUGCACGAAAGCGUGGGGAGCAAACAGG